CACAGGGAUUGCCCUAGUAACGGCGAGUGAAGCGGCAACAGCUCAAAUUUGAAAUCUGGCUCCUUCGGGGCCCGAGUUGUAAUUUGUAGAGGGUGCUUUGGCGUUGGCUCCGGCCUAAGUUCCUUGGAACAGGACGUCACAGAGGGUGAGAAUCCCGUACGUGGCCGGCUGCCUUCGCCGUGUAAAGCCCCUUCGACGAGUCGAGUUGUUUGGGAAUGCAGCUCUAAAUGGGAGGUAAAUUUCUUCUAAAGCUAAAUACUGGCCAGAGACCGAUAGCGCACAAGUAGAGUGAUCGAAAGAUGAAAAGCACUUUGGAAAGAGAGUCAAAAAGCACGUGAAAUUGUUGAAAGGGAAGCGCUUGCAGCCAGACUUGCCUGUAGUUGCUCAUCCGGGCUCCUGCCCGGUGCACUCUUCUAUAGGCAGGCCAGCAUCAGUUUGGGCGGCCGGAUAAAGGCCUCGGGAACGUAGCUCUCUUCGGGGAGUGUUAUAGCCCGGGGCGUCAUGCGGCCAGCCUGGACUGAGGUCCGCGCAUCUGCUAGGAUGCUGGCGUAAUGGCUGUAAGCGGCCCGUCUUGAAACACGGACCAAGGAGUCUAACAUCUAUGCGAGUGUUUGGGUGUCAAGCCCGGGCGCGUAAUGAAAGUGAACGGAGGUGGGAACCCCCCGGGGUGCACCAUCGACCGAUCCUGAUGUCUUCGGAUGGAUUUGAGUAAGAGCAUAGCUGUUGGGACCCGAAAGAUGGUGAACUAUGCCUGAAUAGGGUGAAGCCAGAGGAAACUCUGGUGGAGGCUCGCAGCGGUUCUGACGUGCAAAUCGAUCGUCAAAUUUGGGCAUAGGGGCGAAAGACUAAUCGAACUAUCUAGUAGCUGGUUCCUGC
RNAcentral lists this ribosomal RNA (876 nucleotides) under Quadricrura bicornis. RNAcentral describes it as "LSU rRNA". It matches the Rfam family "Eukaryotic large subunit ribosomal RNA", at positions 67 to 961 of the family's 3401-position model. Lineage: Eukaryota; Fungi; Ascomycota; Dothideomycetes; Pleosporales; Tetraplosphaeriaceae. The record is from RNAcentral.